This 497-nucleotide ribosomal RNA is filed under the name uncultured bacterium. RNAcentral's name for it is "partial 16S ribosomal RNA". It matches the Rfam family "Bacterial small subunit ribosomal RNA", at positions 28 to 507 of the family's 1533-position model. The record is from RNAcentral.
GAUGAACGCUGGCGGCGUGCCUAAUACAUGCAAGUCGAGCGAACAGACGAGGAGCUUGCUCCGUCGACGUUAGCGGCGGACGGGUGAAUAACACGUAGGUAACCUACCUAUAAGACUGGGAUCACUUCGGGAAACCGGAGCUAAUACCGGAUAAUAUUUCGAACCGCAUGGUUCGAUAGUGAAAGAUGGCUUUGCUAGCACUUAUCGAUGCACCUGGGCCGUAUUAGCUAGUUGGUAAGGUCACGGCCUACCAAGGCGAGGAUUCGUAGCCGACGUGAGAGGGUGGUCGGCCGCACGAGAGCGGAGCCAGGCACCAGGGGCCUGCGGGAGGGCGCAGACGCGAACGUUCCGCAGCAGGGGGAAAUCUGGCGGAGUGAGCGCGCGUGAGAUGUGGAGGCGUCCCGUGCGGAAAACCGGGUUAUGGGUUGAAAACCACUUUCGAAUGUAACGUAGCCGGAGUGACGGUAACUGACCAGAAAGCCACGGCUAACUACGUG